RNAcentral lists this ribosomal RNA (218 nucleotides) under Escherichia coli. Its description in RNAcentral is "partial 16S ribosomal RNA". It matches the Rfam family "Bacterial small subunit ribosomal RNA", at positions 1 to 217 of the family's 1533-position model. Lineage: Bacteria; Pseudomonadati; Pseudomonadota; Gammaproteobacteria; Enterobacterales; Enterobacteriaceae. The record is from RNAcentral.
AAAUUGAAGAGUUUGAUCAUGGCUCAGAUUGAACGCUGGCGGCAGGCCUAACACAUGCAAGUCGAACGGUAACAGAAAGAAGCUUGCUUCUUUGCUGACGAGUGGCGGACGGGUGAGUAAUGUCUGGGAAACUGCCUGAUGGAGGGGGAUAACUACUGGAAACGGUAGCUAAUACCGCAUAACGUCGCAAGACCAAAGAGGGGGACCUUCGGGCCUCU